RNAcentral lists this long non-coding RNA (234 nucleotides) under Elaeis guineensis (African oil palm). RNAcentral's name for it is "long non-coding RNA (EGUI_LNC041817)". Lineage: Eukaryota; Viridiplantae; Streptophyta; Magnoliopsida; Arecales; Arecaceae. The record is from RNAcentral.
CAGGGGCAAAAUCAUAAUUUUACCAAAACCCUGAUUUAAUAGUAUCAUUUGGUAGAACAAAAGAUUUGUGAUCUAUUGGUGAAAAUUUCAUUAUUUUUGGACUUGUAUUUUUGAAGUUAUGCAUGUUUGAAUUCCAUGAGUCGACUCAUGAGUCAGCUCAUGGCACAAUGAGCAGCUUGGCACGCUGAAAUUUCUGUUGGCACGCUGGAUUUUUGGCUUGGCACGACCUGUGAG